UGGAUCGAUGAUGACUGCUGGUGGCGUAUGAGUCAUGUAUGAUGAAUACGUGUCUGGAACUCUGAGGUCCAG
Molecule: small nucleolar RNA, 72 nt
Organism: Callithrix jacchus (white-tufted-ear marmoset)
Lineage: Eukaryota; Metazoa; Chordata; Mammalia; Primates; Cebidae
Source: Ensembl